Molecule: ribosomal RNA, 200 nt
Filed under: uncultured bacterium
Lineage: Bacteria
Description: partial 16S ribosomal RNA
Rfam family: Bacterial small subunit ribosomal RNA
Source: RNAcentral
GACGAACGCUGGCGGCGUGCUUAACACAUGCAAGUCGAACGAUGAACCACUUCGGUGGGGAUUAGUGGCGAACGGGUGAGUAACACGUGGGCAAUCUGCCCUUCACUCUGGGACAAGCCCUGGAAACGGGGUCUAAUACCGGAUAUCACUCCUGCAGGCAUCUGUGGGGGUUGAAAGCUCCGGCGGUGAAGGAUGAGCCC